UACGGAGGGGGCGAGCGUUAUUCGGAAUUAUUGGGCGUAAAGGGCGCGUAGGCGGCUUGGUAAGUCAAAGGUGAAAGCCCCCGGCUCAACCGGGGAGGGCGGCUGGAAACUGUGCUUCUUGAGGGCGAUAGAGGAGUGUGGAAUUCCUGGUGUAGCGGUGAAAUGCGUAGAGAUCAGGAGGAACACCCGUGGCGAAGGCGGCACUCUGGAUCGGCCCUGACGCUGAGGCGCGAAAGCGUGGGGAGCGAACGGG
Molecule: ribosomal RNA, 253 nt
Filed under: uncultured bacterium
Lineage: Bacteria
Description: partial 16S ribosomal RNA
Rfam family: Bacterial small subunit ribosomal RNA
Source: RNAcentral